RNAcentral lists this small nucleolar RNA (136 nucleotides) under Gallus gallus (chicken). Its description in RNAcentral is "GGoACA1 small nucleolar RNA". It matches the Rfam family "Small nucleolar RNA SNORA68". Rfam says of the family: U68 is a member of the H/ACA class of small nucleolar RNAs (snoRNAs) which act as guides in the the modification of uridines to pseudouridines. Lineage: Eukaryota; Metazoa; Chordata; Aves; Galliformes; Phasianidae. The record is from RNAcentral.
UGCACACAAAAACCCAAAGAAUGUUGUUCCUCGUAAUGACGUUCUUGUCGUGUGUGCAGAUAUUAUAUGUAUCUUGUCGCCUUUCCAGAGCUGAGGUGCUCUUGAAAGUGAAACUUGAGGUUCUACAUGAACAUAA